Molecule: ribosomal RNA, 271 nt
Filed under: uncultured bacterium
Lineage: Bacteria
Description: partial 16S ribosomal RNA
Rfam family: Bacterial small subunit ribosomal RNA
Source: RNAcentral
UACGGAGGGUGCAAGCGUUGUCCGGAUUUAUUGGGUUUAAAGGGUGCGUAGGUGGCUUUAUAAGUCAGUGGUGAAAGCCUGCAGCUUAACUGUAGGACUGCCAUUGAUACUGUAGAGCUUGAGUACUGAUGAGGUAGGCGGAAUUGAUAGUGUAGCGGUGAAAUGCAUAGAUAUUAUCAAGAACACCGAUUGCGAAGGCAGCUUACUAAGGAGUUACUGACACUGAGGCACGAAAGCGUGGGGAUCAAACAGGAUUAGAAACCCUUGUAGU